Molecule: small RNA, 51 nt
Filed under: Marinococcus luteus
Lineage: Bacteria; Bacillati; Bacillota; Bacilli; Caryophanales; Bacillaceae
Description: Bacillus-plasmid RNA
Rfam family: Bacillus-plasmid RNA (bases 1-45)
Source: Rfam by way of RNAcentral
UUCGUCAACGGUACCGGACCGUAGGGAGGAUAAGGAGUUGACGAAACGUUG